RNAcentral lists this non-coding RNA (23 nucleotides) under Cricetulus griseus (Chinese hamster). Lineage: Eukaryota; Metazoa; Chordata; Mammalia; Rodentia; Cricetidae. The record is from RNAcentral.
GGGAAAGGCCUGGAGAACUCGAG